Molecule: transfer RNA, 67 nt
Filed under: Chorisoserrata biceps
Lineage: Eukaryota; Metazoa; Arthropoda; Insecta; Blattodea; Pseudophyllodromiidae
Description: tRNA-Leu
Source: RNAcentral
ACUAUUUUGGCAGAAAAGUGUGUUGAAUUUAGAAUUCAAUAAUGUAGAUAUUUAUCUAUAAAUAGUA